Long non-coding RNA from Dicentrarchus labrax (European seabass), 1210 nucleotides. RefSeq lists it as uncharacterized. The record is from RefSeq and is a predicted model, not a curated record. The transcript has 6 exons. NCBI's taxonomy places the organism in Eukaryota, Metazoa, Chordata, Actinopteri, Moronidae.
GAUGUCCCGGGUUUGUUUUUGCUCUUUAAGACAACUAACGUUAGUUAAUCAUCUGAAAGCGACUAAAAUAACGAAUAUAUCCAUAUAACCAUGUCACCACAAUUACAUUACACCUAAAGUAACCGGGCUAGUCUGAUACAUCCACGGCCAACAGUGUUUACACCGAGCUAGCUUAUUCUGUUUAAUGCUCCGUCGUUGACACCAUGGUGCUAAGCUAGGAAAUGCUAACGUAACGAUUGUCUCGACUCACCGUCCCGACAGGAAGAAGCCAUAAGGGUAAGAGCACUUCAGGACGCGUCGCGUCUUCAGCAGCUCACACACACCGUCCUCAAUGAACCGUGUGUCUGGAGGAGUGCCUUCACCUGGACCAGAUGAAGAGGCAAAAACACACAAAGUUGGUCAUCUCCUUGGACUGCUCCUCUAGCUGUUGGAUGACCUCGUAGCGAGUACAGCGAUAGUAGCCUCCUGUGGAUGAGCUGUGCUUCUUCCACUCCUCCAGACAGAUCCAACAGAAGUCAUACUUACACUACAGACUUACCAGCAGAAGAGGUGACCCUUGCCGCAAUCGACAGCUGGGGAUGGCAGCAGGGGGAAACUCUGUGGGUCACUGUCCCCGGGGCCUGGUCGGGUGAGCCGCACCGCCCGCUCACAGCGUGCUGCAGGACACCAGCGGAUAGCAGGAUUGUUCUCCACAAAUGCCUGCAAAGAUAUCGCUGGUCCAUCUCUCUGGAAACCACACUCUCGAUCACGUGCACCGGCACCAACUGGUAGCACUCGUAGGCCGGGCAGAAGAUAUUGUGUGCGUCCCCCUCCUGAAUCUUUACAUUGAGGAACCUGUGAAACACACAAGUUUGUACUCAGCAGGUUGGUUUCACCAUGUGCGUCUGUGUUUGACUGCUGAGCUGAAGAGGAGGAGAAAACCAUCUGUGACUCCAGGCUGAGGGCCAGCUCGGUGUGGUGAUGCCGCUCGGCAUGGUCACAAGGCGUCAACUUGUCCUCAUCCUCCACAAAAAGGUCUGCCUCGCUCUGGAUUAGCAGCUAGAGGGAGGGACGAGGAGGGAGAAAACAGACAACAAAAAGGAAUGGGAGGAAAAAAAGGGGAAGAAGUGGCUCAUGGAGAGGAAGAAGAAAUUGAACGCAACAAAAGACAACAUAGGCAGCGAGAGGCGAGAGCAAGGGGAGCAGACAAAGAGAAGAAAGAGAAAACAAA